GCGAACGCUGGCGGCAGGCUUAACCCAUGCAAGUCGAGCGGGCAUAGCAAUAUGUCAGCGGCAGACGGGUGAGUAACGCGUGGGAACGUACCUUUUGGUUCGGAACAACUGAGGGAAACUUCAGCUAAUACCGGAUAAGCCCUUACGGGGAAAGAUUUAUCGCCGAAAGAUCGGCCCGCGUCUGAUUAGCUAGUUGGUGAGGUAAUGGCUCACCAAGGCGACGAUCAGUAGCUGGUCUGAGAGGAUGAUCAGCCACAUUGGGACUGAGACACGGCCCAAACUCCUACGGGAGGCAGCAGUGGGGAAUAUUGGACAAUGGGCGCAAGCCUGAUCCAGCCAUGCCGCGUGAGUGAUGAAGGCCCUAGGGUUGUAAAGCUCUUUUGUGCGGGAAGAUAAUGACGGUACCGCAAGAAUAAGCCCCGGCUAACUUCGUG
Molecule: ribosomal RNA, 434 nt
Filed under: uncultured bacterium
Lineage: Bacteria
Description: partial 16S ribosomal RNA
Rfam family: Bacterial small subunit ribosomal RNA
Source: RNAcentral